GACGAACGCUGGCGGCGUGCCUAACACAUGCAAGUCGAGCGGGGUUGAAGCGAGAGGUAACUCGAACUUCUACCUAGCGGCGGACGGGUGAGUAACGCGUGGGCAACCUGCCUCAAGGUCUGGGAUAACAGCCCGAAAGGGCUGCUAAUACCGGGUAUGCUUGUGGCCUCGCAUGGGGCUAUGAGCAAAGGGGAAACCCGCCUUGAGAUGGGCCCGCGUCCCAUCAGCUAGUUGGUGAGGUAACAGCUCACCAAGGCGACGACGGGUAGCCGGCCUGAGAGGGUGACCGGCCACACUGGGACUGAGACACGGCCCAGACUCCUACGGGGGGCAGCAGUGGGGGAUCUUGCACAAUGGGCGAAAGCCUGAUGCAGCGACGCCGCGUGAGCGAAGAAGGCCUUCGGGUUGUAAAGCUCUGUCUGGAGGGACGAAGGAAGUAGACGGUACCUCCGGAGGAAGCCGACGGCUAACUACGUG
This 477-nucleotide ribosomal RNA is filed under the name uncultured bacterium. RNAcentral's name for it is "bacterial SSU rRNA". It matches the Rfam family "Bacterial small subunit ribosomal RNA", at positions 28 to 507 of the family's 1533-position model. The record is from RNAcentral.